GUGACUGAUCCCAGCUGGGCAGCCUGCAUUCCCUCCCCAAAAACACCCCUUGAUCCCACCCCCACACCCCUGCAGUGCCUCUCUCUGAGAGGGCAGAGUAGGGAAAGCUAACGAGUUAACCACAGGGCUUCUGAUUCUGCACAGCUUUUGGGGGGCAGCUGUGGGUGGGGGCAGGUUAGGGAGCAAAGCUGAAAAUAAACCAAGCAGGGCAGCUUCUUUCGGAUGGCUGGCUCCCUCUCAUCUUUUCUCCAUUGCUCCAUUUUUCUCUUCUCCUUUCCCCCUUCUCCCUCCGUCUGUCUUAUCAGGUCUCUCUUCCGCCUUGAUCCACCUCCUAUCCUUCCAUGUAACUUUCCUUUUCUUCUGUCUCCCUUUUUUUGGUCUCUCUUGACCCUCCCUGGCAAGGAAUAAGUGAGCCACGAUUUCUAUUCUAGUUUCUCUCUUGUACCACUGCUCCUCGUCAGGAUGGCUCCCUUCCAUUUUGUCCCAAGUUAAAGCCCCAGUUGGCCCCCAGCUCCAGGUCAGAGGAGGGCAGGUGACUUAGGUCUAGAGGGGGUCCCCACCUCAUCCUGUGCCUCCUCCUAGCUGCCCACCCCUCUCCUCCUCUCUACGGGGGUCAGAAGGCAGAACCAGGGGACUCGAGUAUCUUGCAAAGGCUUUAUUUGAAAAUUUUGAAACUUACAUCCCACAGUAAUUCAAGAUGAUCACCACAAGAAGAAGAAAGAGAUAAUACAAAAAUAUAUAUCACAGCCUAGGAGCCAGGGAAGAAGGGAAGGAGGAAGGUGGAAAAACCAGUGAGAAGGAGGGAAGAACCUGAGGAGGGGGAAAGGGCAGGGAAGCAAAAGGAAGGAGAGUGGAAGGAAGGAGGGAGGAAAGGAGGGGACAGGAGGGAGUCCGGGAAGGGAAGGGUAGACUUGGAGUUAGGGAGGCCCAAAGGGAGGCUGGGAAGGGAGGACUGGCUCAGGGGGCUCUGAAGUCCAGAGAAUGGCACACACACAGACAGCCAGGACAGACAAGACAAAAGGGACUGUAGGAGAAAGGGAAGGGCAAAUGGGAGUCCCUUUCUCAUGUAGUGCAGCAGGCGACUCCCCAAAACCCAUCUGUCAGAAAACAGAUUUUAGCAGUGGGCUGGGGGUGAAGUCUGGGGCCUCACUACCCCAUUCCCAAGGGGGAGCCCUCAGGGUGAUGCCGGCAUCCUUGGAGUAGGAUGGGGAGACAGAGAAACAAAUGGUGUGGAAUGGGACGAGACCAUGACCGAUGAGGGCCCAAGGAGCCCCCAGCUCACCUCCCACCCACCUCUGGAGCAGCACGCAGGGGCUGCGGAAACGAGGUGGGUGGGUGUUCAUGAGGGAGAGAGUGAGCACGCCGCACACCACCACAACAUCAGGCCGGGAAACGCACAUGAGAGGUAAAGUGUGCAGGAAACGCUGACCACUGAGUGAGCUGAGCACAGAAUGUGGGAAGGAGAGAGUGCAAAUGUGAGACGAGAGAACAUGAGAGUCAGCUGAGCGGAGCGGUAUGGACGGGGAGAGGGUGCAGGAGCGUGUGCAAAUGGCCUGUGAAGGUGGAGGUGAGUGUGCAAGGCUUUCAUGUGAGUGCACAAGGGUGGGGACAGGGACCCGAAGUCACAGAUAUGUGAGGCCCCCACCUGCAGGAGGGC
RNAcentral lists this long non-coding RNA (1657 nucleotides) under Homo sapiens (human). RNAcentral describes it as "HSALNT0184913". Lineage: Eukaryota; Metazoa; Chordata; Mammalia; Primates; Hominidae. The record is from RNAcentral.